Molecule: ribosomal RNA, 421 nt
Filed under: uncultured bacterium
Lineage: Bacteria
Description: bacterial SSU rRNA
Rfam family: Bacterial small subunit ribosomal RNA
Source: RNAcentral
GGAAUUUUGGACAAUGGGCGCAAGCCUGAUCCAGCCAUGCCGCGUGCGGGAAGAAGGCCUUCGGGUUGUAAACCGCUUUUGGCAGGAACGAAACGGCGCUGGCUAAUACCUCGCGUUAAUGACGGUACCUGCAGAACAAGCACCGGCUAACUACGUCCCAGCUGCCGCGGUAAUACGUGGGGUGCAAGCGUUAAUCGGAAUGACUGGGCGUAAAGCGUACGCAGGCGGCUUUGCAAGACAGGUGUGAAAUCCCCGGGCCUAACCUGGGAACUGCGUUUGUGACUGCAUGGCUAGAGUCUGUCAGAGGGGGGUGGAAUUCCACGUGUAGCAGUGAAAUGCGUAGAGAUGUGGAAGAACACCGAUGGCGAAGGCAGCCCCCUGGGAUAAGACUGACGCUCAUGUACGAAAGCGUGGGGAGCAA